AUUGAACGCUGGCGGCAUGCCUUACACAUGCAAGUCGAACGGCAGCGCGGGGCAACCUGGCGGCGAGUGGCGAACGGGUGAGUAAAAUAUCGGAACAUACCCUAGAGUGGGGGACAACGUAGCGAAAGUUACGCUAAUACCGCAUACGCACUAAGGUGGAAAGUGGGGGAUCUUCGGACCUCAUGCUCAUGGAGGGGCCGAUAUCUGAUUAGCUAGUUGGUGAGGUAAAGGCUCACCAAGGCGACGAUCAGUAGCUGGUUUGAGAGAACGACCAGCCACACUGGAACUGAGACACGGUCCAGACUCCUACGGGAGGCAGCAGUGGGGAAUUUUGGACAAUGGGGGGCAACCCUGAUCCAGCAAUGCCGCGUGAGUGAAGAAGGCC
Molecule: ribosomal RNA, 385 nt
Filed under: uncultured bacterium
Lineage: Bacteria
Description: bacterial SSU rRNA
Rfam family: Bacterial small subunit ribosomal RNA
Source: RNAcentral